RNAcentral lists this ribosomal RNA (780 nucleotides) under uncultured bacterium. RNAcentral's name for it is "bacterial SSU rRNA". It matches the Rfam family "Bacterial small subunit ribosomal RNA", at positions 1 to 781 of the family's 1533-position model. The record is from RNAcentral.
UUAGGGUUUGAUCAUGGCUCAGAUUGAACGCUGGCGGCAUGCCUUACACAUGCAAGUCGAACGGCAGCACGGGAGCAAUCCUGGUGGCGAGUGGCGAACGGGUGAGUAAUACAUCGGAACGUGCCCAAUCGUGGGGGAUAACGCAGCGAAAGCUGUGCUAAUACCGCAUACGAUCUACGGAUGAAAGCAGGGGACCGCAAGGCCUUGCGCGAAUGGAGCGGCCGAUGGCAGAUUAGGUAGUUGGUGAGGUAAAGGCUCACCAAGCCUUCGAUCUGUAGCUGGUCUGAGAGGACGACCAGCCACACUGGGACUGAGACACGGCCCAGACUCCUACGGGAGGCAGCAGUGGGGAAUUUUGGACAAUGGGCGAAAGCCUGAUCCAGCAAUGCCGCGUGCAGGAUGAAGGCCUUCGGGUUGUAAACUGCUUUUGUACGGAACGAAACGGUUCUUUCUAAUAAAGAGAGCUAAUGACGGUACCGUAAGAAUAAGCACCGGCUAACUACGUGCCAGCAGCCGCGGUAAUACGUAGGGUGCAAGCGUUAAUCGGAAUUACUGGGCGUAAAGCGUGCGCAGGCGGUUAUGUAAGACAGUUGUGAAAUCCCCGGGCUCAACCUGGGAAUUGCAUCUGUGACUGCAUAGCUAGAGUACGGUAGAGGGGGAUGGAAUUCCGCGUGUAGCAGUGAAAUGCGUAGAUAUGCGGAGGAACACCGAUGGCGAANGCAAUCCCCUGGACCUGUACUGACGCUCAUGCACGAAAGCGUGGGGAGCAAACAGGAUUAG